This 355-nucleotide long non-coding RNA is filed under the name Arabidopsis lyrata. RNAcentral's name for it is "long non-coding RNA (ALYR_LNC002475)". The record is from RNAcentral. Lineage: Eukaryota; Viridiplantae; Streptophyta; Magnoliopsida; Brassicales; Brassicaceae.
UCAUUGUAGCUACAGUCCAGCUUAUUGUGUAAUUCAGAUAUCUUCUUAGCAAUCUCCAUGGAGCCAGAUACUUGUCCUUGGAGAAGCUGUUGUAGCAUUUGCUUCAUGUCAGAAUCAGGAGCAGCAGGACCUUGGUGUUGCUGAGGUGCAAACCCAGGUGGUGGUUGCUGCUGGUAGUUCCCCUAAAAUUGUUGCUUGGGAGCAAAACCUUGGUUGUAGGGAACAAAAGGUUUAUUCUGACCCUGCUGUUGUUGUGGAGGAUACACUUGAUCCUGUGGAUUAGCAACGUUGGUGCUACGGUAAGAAAGGUUGGGGUUGUUAGUCUUGAAGUUGUUAUACCCUUUGUAGCCACCUU